Molecule: long non-coding RNA, 491 nt
Organism: Gasterosteus aculeatus aculeatus (three-spined stickleback)
Lineage: Eukaryota; Metazoa; Chordata; Actinopteri; Perciformes; Gasterosteidae
Source: RefSeq, a predicted model, not a curated record
CAGGCUGUACCUGUAGCCAUGCAGCCGCCGCGCUUUGGAAGCAUGCAGUUUGAUCAUCGAGAGACCGUCAACUGCCAGAAACACUGGUACUUGGCCUGCAUCCAGCCACGCAGCCGGGAACAGCGAUGACCAUGGAGCUGAUUGGAUUAACUGGACUCAACACCACUCGAGCCGGCGGCUUCCAUCAGAGUCAGAGGAUGGCUAACAUUAAUAAAUGAGCAGCGGGUCGGCAAGCCGCUUCAAAGCUCUAUUUAAGAAAAAAAUGGUCCUAUAAGCUACUUACUUUCAUAAGCUGUGUGUGAGGGAGUUUAUAGAAGUUUACACAAAUAAAGCUGUUGCUUUUGUAGUGUUGUGGAAAAUGACCACGUGCAACAAAAGGCUUUGGUAAGAAGAGUUAAGAAAUGAAAGAUAUAUAUACUGUUAGGGUUUCGGAAAGCUCUCGAGGGAGGCCUCACUCCUUUGUUCUCGUCCCGGCCGGAAACGAAGACACA